RNAcentral lists this ribosomal RNA (253 nucleotides) under uncultured bacterium. RNAcentral's name for it is "partial 16S ribosomal RNA". It matches the Rfam family "Bacterial small subunit ribosomal RNA", at positions 524 to 776 of the family's 1533-position model. The record is from RNAcentral.
UACGAAGGGUGCAAGCGUUACUCGGAAUUACUGGGCGUAAAGCGUGCGUAGGUGGUUCGUUAAGUCUGCCGUGAAAGCCCCGGGCUCAACCUGGGAAUGGCGGUGGAUACUGGCGGACUAGAGUGCGGCAGAGGGUGGUGGAAUUCCCGGUGUAGCAGUGAAAUGCGUAGAGAUCGGGAGGAACAUCUGUGGCGAAGGCGGCCACCUGGACCAGCACUGACACUGAGGCACGAAAGCGUGGGGAGCAAACAGG